Molecule: ribosomal RNA, 253 nt
Filed under: uncultured bacterium
Lineage: Bacteria
Description: partial 16S ribosomal RNA
Rfam family: Bacterial small subunit ribosomal RNA
Source: RNAcentral
UACAGAGGUGGCAAGCGUUGUUCGGAAUUACUGGGCGUAAAGGGCGCGUAGGCGGUUCGUUAAGUCCUGUGUGAAAUCCCCCGGCUCAACUGGGGAACUGCACAGGAAACUAGCGGGCUUGAGUUCGGAAGAGGGAAGCGGAAUUCCGGGUGUAGCGGUGAAAUGCGUAGAUAUCCGGAGGAACACCGGUGGCGAAGGCGGCUUCCUGGACCGACACUGACGCUGAGGCGCGAAAGCUAGGGGAGCAAACGGG